This 5478-nucleotide ribosomal RNA is filed under the name Triticum aestivum (bread wheat). RNAcentral's name for it is "partial small subunit ribosomal RNA". Lineage: Eukaryota; Viridiplantae; Streptophyta; Magnoliopsida; Poales; Poaceae. The record is from RNAcentral.
AUGGAAGAGAAGAAGCCCGGAGGCGACGGAGAGAACAGCAUGGAGCUGCCUCCGAUUAGUGCAUCCCUUGGUGCCAUGGGUUCCAUUUCGGGAAAGCUGGACGCGCUCCAGGAUACAGAGCACAAGGAUGAGAUCAGGAAGCUCAGGUCGCGGCUGCUGGCGCUCUCCAAGGCACGGGAUCCCCCAGUAACAGCGAGGAUCUGGAUGAAGGAUGUACGCGAACUAUCCUAUGACAUGGACAACUUUGUCGACACCGACGCAGAAUGGAUCCACAAGAUGUCAGGAUUCAAGGCUCGAGCCAAGGACGCCAAUGGACGGUACGACAGGUACAACCUCGAGAGCGUCCCCAGCCGUAUGAACAUCGCUACGAUUCCAAUGGUGGACGCCGGCCGGAAGACAGAUAUGGUCGUCGGCCUUGAUGGCGAGGGCGGCGCCUUCAAGACGAUCUGCAACACUCUGGCCGACGGGGAUGAGCAGCUCAAGGUGCUAUCCGUUGUCGGCGUAGGAGGAAUCGGGAAGACCACGCUUGCCAAACAGCUAUGGCGUGAGCACAAGCUCGGGGACCACUUCCGCUGCCGGGCUUUUGUGCGGACGGCCAAGAAACCUGACAUGAGGAGGGUCCUCAGAAGCAUACUCGCUCAAGUUCGUCCGGACCAACCACCCGACGCCAGCGAGGUGCACGACCUCAUUCACGACCUCACACAACAUCUACAGGAUAAAAGGUAUUUUAUUAUAAUCGACGACCUAUGGCAUACAUCAGUGUGGGAUGUUGCUUCCUGUGCUUUCCCGGAGGGCAAUCACGGAAGCAGGAUAAUAACAACAACAGAAGUUGAGGAUGUUGCUCUAGCAUGCUGCAGUUAUCAAUCCGAGUACAUGUUUAAGUUGGAACCCCUCAGUGACAGUCAGUCAAAAGAGUUGUUCACCAGUGCAGUAUUUGGCUCGGCAGAACGGCACUCGCGCCAGUUAGAUGAACUCUCAGAUGAUAUCCUGACAAGAUGUGCUGGUUUACCGCAGGCAAUUAUUAGCAUAUCCAGUGUCCUAGCAAGCCAUGCGGAAGCAAACACAGCGGAGAGCUGGGAGCAAAUGCAACGCAAUUUGCCAGCAAAUACAGCUUCUGAGGAGAUACUGAAACAAGUGCUGAAUUUUUGCUACAAUAGUCUUCCCAGUUGCCUUCAGACAUGUCUAUUGUAUCUUAGUAUAUACCCAGAGAACUAUAUAAUCUUGAAGGAAGAUAUAAUGAAGCAAUGGGUGGCUGAAGGGUUUGUUUGUGCACCAACAGAGAAAGAGAAAAUGAUAGUUGCUGGGAGCUAUUUUGAUAAGCUUGUCGAUAUGGGCCUGAUCCAACAUAUAGACGUAGGGUAUAGCAACAAGGUAUUGUACUAUGCAGUGCAUCACAUGGUACAUGAUCUUAUCACAUCAAAGUCCAUAGAAGAUAAUUUUAUCACUGUGGUAGAUUAUUCGCAAAGGACAGUACGGUUUUCUAACAAGGCUAGUCGUUUGUCUCUCCAGUUUGGCAGUGCAACAUUCGCAACUACACCAGCAAGUACUGGGCUGUCACAGAUUCGGUCUCUUACUUUUAUUGGACUGAUGAGCUGCUUUCCCAUUUCUAUCUUGGAGUUUAAGCUUCUUCGAUUUCUGAACCUUCAUAUUUGGAGUGAUCAACAACCAAGCACAGGUGUAGACCUCGUGGUUAUUUGUGAAUUGCUUCUGUUGAGGUAUUUGCAGGUCAUAUGCAACGACAUUGUACAUCUUCCACGUCAGAUGCAAGGUCUGAAACUCCUGGAAACACUUGAAAUAAAUGCAAGGGUAGCAGCUAUUCCAUUGGAUAUUGUUCAUCUUCGGAGCUUGUUGCAUCUCCGUCUCGGAGGUGGGACUGAACUACCUGAUGUUACUGGUACUCUCACUAAUGUCUCCCUGAAUCCUCCUAGUGCUGCCAUUUUGUUGGAUGAGUCGAACAGUCCUCCGGAUUCAGUGAAGACAAUCGAGUUGUUGCCGCCCAUUUGUAGAGUCCCCAAGUGGACCGGAUGGCUUACCAAACUCUGCAUUCUGAAAGUUGUGGUCAGAGAACUGCUAAUGGAUGACACCGGUAAACUGCAAGGAUUGCCAUCCCUCACUGUUUUGUCGUUGUACGUCAAGCAACGAACUACAGAAAAAAUCAUCUUUGUAACAGGAGCAUUCGCCGCUCUCGAAUAUUUUGAGUUCAGGUGUGGUGUAUUACACCACCUGGCCUUUAAGGAAGGAGCAAUGCCCAAGCUUCGGAAGGUUAAGCUAGGUUUCAAUGCUCAUAGAGGAGAAUGGUAUGGUCGAUUGCUUGUGGGCAUUGAACACCUGUCAACCGUCAAGGAGAUUGUUGGAAUAAUUGGAUCAACUGCCGGUGCCGAGGAAAAGGACAUGGAAGCUGCGGAGUCUGCAUUCAAGGACGCCAUUUGCAAGCAUCAUGGUAAGAUCAGCUUAAAAAGGGGAGAUGUUGUUGAGGAAGAGCAGUAUGGUCCUUUGCUUGUGGGCAUUGAGCACCUGUCAAACGUCCAGAAGAUUGCUGGAAAAAUUGGGUCAACAGCCAAAAAGCAGCAGGACUUGAUAGCUGCAGAGUUUGCAUUCAAAGACACCAUUGGCAAGCAUCAUAGUGACGCCAGCUUAAAAAGAGGAGAUAUUGUUGAGGAAGAGUAUGAUGGUCCACCAGAAAAUCAGCAUUCAGUCUUCCAGAAUAAGCUUAUGAACUUUAUUGAAGAAAAGAAUAAGCUUAUGACAGUCUCAGUGAUGGGGUGGUUCCUGUCACCUCACAUCACCGAGCUUAUGAAGGUUGCACAGGACUGUGCAGCCACCAAUUGCAUGCUAUACCGGGGAAGCAUGGAGAAGCUGGCGAAACUGGUGCAAGCUCUGAAGGACAUCAAGCGCCUCCUAGGCCCAGCCAGCACGGCCAUCGUCAACAACCAAGCCAAGCUCGACCAACUAUGGCAGCUCAAAAACGACAUUCAUGAGGUUGAGGAGAUCCUGGACUUAUUUCAGCUGGAGAUCAAUGACGUCCAGUUAACUGGUAAUUACAAUUUGAAGCAUCUGGACAGCAAAAAAGUCCGGCUGGUGAAAGUGCUCAAGAGUGUAGGCGAGACUCGGGACAGGGCGAGGGAACUCCAACACGGUGCAGUUCCUUCCAUCUUGCCACGAGCCGAAACCGGCCCGAACCCGGUGAGGGACGACAGGAGCUUCUUCGGGUAUCAGGACGAGUAUGCCCAGCUGGCCUCCAUGUUGCAGAAGCAGCCGGAUGGCAGCAAGGCGGACAACAAGAUGCAUCGGAUUAUCGCCAUCGUCGGCCAUGCCGGGAUGGGGAAGACAGAGCUUGCUCGCCAGGUAUUUCGGGGCGCCAAAGGCAAGUUUGACCUUUGCAUAUGGGUGCAUGCCUACCGCAAGAACACUGAAUACGACCUCCUGAAAGAGAUCUGGAAGUAUGUUGUUGGUCACAAAGCGGUCGGUGAGAUGGAAGUCAGGCAGCUCCAGAUUGAACUCAAGCAGCUCCUGGCGUCAAAGAGGUGCCUUCUGGUGCUCGACGAUGUAUGGAACCAUGAGUUGGCGACCAGCGAGGUGCAUAGGAAGCAUGCAUUGGUGGCUCUGGACUCGUUUAUGGGCUUCGCCGAAGAUGGAAGUAGAGUCGUGUUGACUACUCGAGCCAAGAUUUGCUCGGCAACGUUCAGAGCAGAUGCAAGCAUCAUCUUAGAUGGGAUCAAACCCAAGGAGAUCACACUUCUGCUCGACAACAUUGUAAAGCUUAGGACUAAUGGUAUCCAGGAGCUGCUAAACAAACAGGUGCCCAAGCUCAAGGGGUCUCCAUUGGCAGCCGUAGAGAUCGGUCACGAGUUGAGGAAACAAGCCACAAGUGACAAGAUGUGCAACAUCUUACACAACAUUGAACAUCAUCUGGGCAGUGUAUUAGAGGGACAUUUGUUCACGUAUCGCCAUCUGCCACCGCACCUGCAGCGUUGCUUUGAGUUCUGCAGCAUAUUCCCAUACAAUUGGAGGUUUGAGCCUGAGAAGUUAACCAAGAUGUGGAUAGCUCUUGGUUUCGUCGAGGACACCCAACAAGGUCCGUGCAUGGAAGAUGUCGCCAGAGGCUACUUCCAUGAUCUGGUUGAUCGUUCAUUGUUCCAAGAAGAAGGUGAGGCACUAGGAAUAGGGACAACUUAUGUGAUCCAUGAGCAGAUCCAUUGGAUGAUACGCAUGGCCUCCACCAAGAACUGCAUCAGCAUCUCUAGCACCGGAUGCCAUAGCACAACACCGAGAAGAAUUCCUGUGACAGUUCGCCACUUGUCUGUCUUGAGCGGCUGCCUCGAUCAGCUCAAGGCAUAUCCUAGUUCGGUGCUCAACAAUAUGCGGACUCUGGUUGUCCUAAAGAAUGACGAUGAUGAUUCGACGACGUCAACUUUUGACAAAGGCAUACUCAACCUUUUCAAGGGUGUGAGAGUACUCGACCUGACAGCAACAGACCUGACACAUCUGCCAGGAACUAUCCACAAGCUGAAACAUGUCCGGUACCUCGGUCUUCCGAGCACCAUCAGGAAUCUCUGUGAUGAGGUCACCGGGUUAUUGUUUCUCCAGACCUUCAGCCUUGCUGGGAAGAAGCGGAAUACCUGUCGGCUUCACAGGUUUCCAAAACAUAUGAACAGACUCGUCAACAUGCGACACCUUGACAUCGACAUGGAGUCCAUCGCCAACAUCAGCGGCAUUGGGAGGAUGGCUAAACUGCAAGGGCCCAUCGAGUUCAAGGCCAUCAGGGCGUCAGAGAAAGAAGGGCAUGCCGUGUCAGAGUUGGAAGGGAUGAACUCUCUGGGAGAGACGCUGAGCAUAAAGGGCCUCGAUGCAGUCGAUAGCAAGGAGGAAGCCAUGAAGGCUCAACUCGAGAACAAAAGUGCGGUCAAGGUGCUCAAGCUUGAAUGGGGGCCACCAGAUCCGCGGCAACUUAACAGAGGACCAGCUGCUUUUGACACCGCCACGGCCGUCCUCGAAGGCCUGCAGCCUCACCAUGACCUCCAUGAACUGCGAAUCACGAGGUACCCUGGGGCGACGUCGCCGACCUGGCUGGGUGUGACGAUGGAGAAGCUGGUGUGCCUGUACCUCAGGAACUGCACGAGACUUCAGGCCCUGCCUGCUAUCGGCGGCCUUCCCUGCCUGGAGCUUCUGGUUGUCAAGGAGCUGCCCUGCGUCAAGAGCAUCGACGGCGGCUUCUGCCGCGUUGGCACGUUCCCAGCGCUGAAGAAGGUGGUGCUGGAUGACAUGCCAAGACUGAUGGCGUGGAGUGACAUGCCAGAACUGUCGUUCCCUCGGCUGAGGGAGGUGAGCAUCAUCGACUGCCCGCGGCUGUCCUCCCUGUCGGGCCUUGAGCGCUGCACAGGUCCCAUCGACCUGCGCGUCAAGGGAUCGCCAAACAUCACACCGGGGAUCCUGCCUGCGAUGUUCAUUACUGGCGCCUCUAAAUGGAAAUUCCACUAG